CAGUAGCCGCGGGAAUACGUAGGGGGCAAGCGUUAUCCGGAAUUAUUGGGCGUAAAGAGUGCGUAGGUGGUCUACUAAGCGCGAGGUGAAAGGCGAUGGCUCAACCAUUGUUAGCCUCGCGAACUGGCAGACUUGAGUGCAAGAGAGGAAAGCGGAAUUCCUAGUGUUGCGGUGAAAUGCGCAGAUAUUAGGAGGAACACCGGCGGCGAAGGCGGCUUUCUGGAUUGUAACUGACACUGAGGCACGAAAGCGUGGGUAGCAAACAGGAUUAGAUACCCGUGUAGUCCCUGUCUCUUAUACA
This 301-nucleotide ribosomal RNA is filed under the name uncultured bacterium. RNAcentral's name for it is "partial 16S ribosomal RNA". It matches the Rfam family "Bacterial small subunit ribosomal RNA", at positions 509 to 808 of the family's 1533-position model. The record is from RNAcentral.